RNAcentral lists this ribosomal RNA (614 nucleotides) under uncultured bacterium. Its description in RNAcentral is "bacterial SSU rRNA". It matches the Rfam family "Bacterial small subunit ribosomal RNA", at positions 338 to 946 of the family's 1533-position model. The record is from RNAcentral.
CCUACGGGAGGCAGCAGUGGGGAAUUUUGGACAAUGGGCGCAAGCCUGAUCCAGCAAUGCCGCGUGAGUGAAGAAGGCCUUCGGGUUGUAAAGCUCUUUUGUCAGGGAAGAAACGGUCUGUUCUAAUACAGCGGGCUAAUGACGGUACCUGAAGAAUAAGCACCGGCUAACUACGUGCCAGCAGCCGCGGUAAUACGUAGGGUGCAAGCGUUAAUCGGAAUUACUGGGCGUAAAGCGUGCGCAGGCGGUUUUGUAAGUUUGUCGUGAAAUCCCCGGGCUCAACCUGGGAAUGGCGAUGAAGACUGCAAGGCUAGAGUUUGGCAGAGGGGGGUAGAAUUCCACGUGUAGCAGUGAAAUGCGUAGAUAUGUGGAGGAACACCGAUGGCGAAGGCAGCCCCCUGGGUCAAAACUGACGCUCAUGCACGAAAGCGUGGGGAGCAAACAGGAUUAGAUACCCUGGUAGUCCACGCCCUAAACGAUGUCUACUAGUUGUCGGGUCUUAAUUGACUUGGUAACGCAGCUAACGCGUGAAGUAGACCGCCUGGGGAUACGGCCGCAAGNUUAAAACUCAAANAGAGUAGAGCGNGAGAGUGCGAGACGACGACGAGGAGAGG